ACCAGAUACACCACCUCCUGUAACAAACUCGUACCUACGUGCGUGACAGGAAGAAAGCAAAGUUGUUUUGGAUGAAUUAUUGAUGUUUCUUCACAGUGUUCCCAGACACGUGUAAAUCUAAGGCAUCAACAUUUUCCUUACAUGCAGGAAUUAAUGGUGAUUCGACUGGCAGUGCAACGUGUGACUCCAUUGACCUGUCAUCCAUCACAGCCCGCUGGAGACACACAUUUCAGUGUGUAACACUCAGCAGAGCUCGGCCUUCCCUCGGCGCUCCGAACUCAAUUACACCGAUGCUAGUGCGACACAACGUUCUCUGCAAAGCCAAGCGAUUUCAGACCCUCACGCUAUCAUUCUUACUAUCCUGCUGUCUGUCGAUCCCUCAGUUCAUCUCUUUAUAACUGAACAGUGGUAUCUUUAUCAUGUUAUACAGUAUAAACAACUGCAUCCAUUUA
Molecule: long non-coding RNA, 452 nt
Organism: Onychostoma macrolepis
Lineage: Eukaryota; Metazoa; Chordata; Actinopteri; Cypriniformes; Cyprinidae
Exons: 3
Source: RefSeq, a predicted model, not a curated record